CCUACGGGGGGCAGCAGUGGGGAAUAUUGGGCAAUGGGCGCAAGCCUGACCCAGCAACGCCGCGUGAAGGAAGAAGGCUUUCGGGUUGUAAACUUCUUUUGACAGGGAAGAGUAGAAGACGGUACCUGUCGAAUAAGCCACGGCUAACUACGUGCCAGCAGCCGCGGUAAUACGUAGGUGGCAAGCGUUGUCCGGAUUUACUGGGUGUAAAGGGCGUGUAGCCGGGUUGACAAGUCAGAUGUGAAAUCCUGCGGCUUAACCCGGGCCGGCCGUUGAAACUGGGGAUCUUGGGUGGGCGAGAAGUAUGCGGAAGGCGUGGUGUAGCGGUGAAAUGCAUAGAUAUCACGCAGAACUCCGAUUGCGAAGGCAGCAUACCGGCGCCCGACUGACGCUGAGGCACGAAAGCGUGGGGAUCGAACAGGAUUAGAUACCCUGGUAGUC
Molecule: ribosomal RNA, 441 nt
Filed under: uncultured bacterium
Lineage: Bacteria
Description: partial 16S ribosomal RNA
Rfam family: Bacterial small subunit ribosomal RNA
Source: RNAcentral